RNAcentral lists this ribosomal RNA (254 nucleotides) under uncultured bacterium. RNAcentral describes it as "partial 16S ribosomal RNA". It matches the Rfam family "Bacterial small subunit ribosomal RNA", at positions 524 to 776 of the family's 1533-position model. The record is from RNAcentral.
UACGUAGGAGGCGAGCGUUGUCCGGAGUUACUGGGCGUAAAGGGUGCGCAGGCGGUGGUGCGCGUGGAUAGAUGAAAUCUCCUGGCUUACCUGGGAGGAUGGUAUCCAGACGGCAUCACUUGAGGGUCGGAGAGGGGCGUGGAAUUCCGGGUGGAGCGGUGAAAUGCGUAGAGAUCCGGAGGAACACCGACGGCGUAGGCAGCGCCCUGGACGACACCUGACGCUGAGGCACGAAAGCUGGGGGAGCAAACAGG